CUCUGUUGUUAGGGAAGAACAAGUACCGUUCGAAUAGGGCGGUACCUUGACGGUACCUAACCAGAAAGCCACGGCUAACUACGUGCCAGCAGCCGCGGUAAUACGUAGGUGGCAAGCGUUGUCCGGAAUUAUUGGGCGUAAAGCGCGCGCAGGCGGUUUCUUAAGUCUGAUGUGAAAGCCCCCGGCUCAACCGGGGAGGGUCAUUGGAAACUGGGGAACUUGAGUGCAGAAGAGGAGAGUGGAAUUCCACGUGUAGCGGUGAAAUGCGUAGAGAUGUGGAGGAACACCAGUGGCGAAGGCGACUCUCUGGUCUGUAACUGACGCUGAGGCGCGAAAGCGUGGGGAGCGAACAGGAUUAGAUACCCUGGUAGUCCACGCCGUAAACGAUGAGUGCUAAGUGUUAGAGGGUUUCCGCCCUUUAGUGCUGCAGCAAACGCAUUAAGCACUCCGCCUGGGGAGUACGGUCGCAAGACUGAAACUCAAAGGAAUUGACGGGGGCCCGCACAAGCGGUGGAGCAUGUGGUUUAAUUCGAAGCAACGCG
This 542-nucleotide ribosomal RNA is filed under the name Bacillus licheniformis. RNAcentral's name for it is "bacterial SSU rRNA". It matches the Rfam family "Bacterial small subunit ribosomal RNA", at positions 431 to 963 of the family's 1533-position model. The record is from RNAcentral. Lineage: Bacteria; Bacillati; Bacillota; Bacilli; Caryophanales; Bacillaceae.